UCUAUAUCGGGUAGGUGUUGAUUAGGCCAUGAACCUUUUUCAUUAAUGCUAAUAGAUAUAGGCCAAUAUCCAGCUCAAGGAUAUUUUGCCAUAAUUAAUUCUAUGUAAACUAGAAAACUUUAUAUUCCGAAUUCUCAUUGCGUAGACCACCUUUUUCCAAUCAUAUAAAAAUAUAGGAACAUGUGAACAGAAGCCCUCAAAGCUAGACUUGCUCCUCUAUAUUGAAAGCAAUUAACACCCUCAUGACUUACAAGAUUGCCACCACUGCUACAUCCAUCUUUAUAUUAGCAGUCCUGGUGUCUUGCAGUGAAUCUAGACUCGGAUGCAAGCGCAGAGCUAGGGUGGCAAUCUGCCGUCCUGCUGUUUGCAUGGAACGAUGCAAAGUGGAAGGCUAUCAAGAUGGAUAUUGUUCACCAGUGGAAAGAUUAUUCUAUUGUUGUUUUAAUGUGACGAAACAACCUGUAGGGAAAAUCAUCGAUUCGACUCAUUAUGUGGGUUCAGGUGCUGACUAAUAAGUAAGAUGAAGACCAAUGUGAUAAAGCUGACACAAUUUUGUGUCCUUUGAAUAAAUUCGUUUGUCAAGUA
Long non-coding RNA from Aegilops tauschii subsp. strangulata, 585 nucleotides. RefSeq lists it as uncharacterized. Lineage: Eukaryota; Viridiplantae; Streptophyta; Magnoliopsida; Poales; Poaceae. The record is from RefSeq and is a predicted model, not a curated record.